Molecule: unclassified non-coding RNA, 23 nt
Filed under: Mus musculus (house mouse)
Lineage: Eukaryota; Metazoa; Chordata; Mammalia; Rodentia; Muridae
Description: oocyte_clustered_small_RNA4597
Source: RNAcentral
UGUCUGGGUUCGAGCCUGUGAGA